Molecule: long non-coding RNA, 679 nt
Filed under: Calidris pygmaea (Spoon-billed sandpiper)
Lineage: Eukaryota; Metazoa; Chordata; Aves; Charadriiformes; Scolopacidae
Description: lncRNA (ENSCPGG00000018587.1)
Source: RNAcentral
GCUUUCCCUGGGAAACUGAAGUGGAUCUCUUGAGUUCCUCAGUCUGGUUCUGUUAUAAGCACAAUGCGAUCACAACGACAGUCUCUUUCUAGAGCUGGUACCCAAACCUUGAUAAGAAGAAAUUAUUUUCUUGAAGAGUGAUGCAUCUGGACGCAGCCAGCACUGGCAGCCGGCAGUGGCAGGGUUUCGUGCUGGUGGUUACUGGGGAGUUUUUGCAGCUGGUUUUCUUCUUUUCACCCACACAGGAGAAGUUGCUGCACCAGGAUGGCCUGAAGCAGAUGGUGAUAAACAACCACAUUCUGCAAUGUGGAAUACUGAGGCAAAGGGAGAUUGUUACGCACCUGGAGGAGGAGAUUGAUGAGCUGAAGAGAAACAUCCAGACACUCCGCCAGAGUGCAAGAAACCCAAGAGAGCUGAUCUUUGCUGAUGUUCUUCUCCGCAGACCGAAGUGCACACCAGACACCGAGGUGGUCCUCAGCAUCCCCACCGAGGAGACGCCGCUCGUCUGAUGCUUGGCCAGGUUCCGGGGGAUCGCAGGGCGUGGAUGAGGUUCAGCUGCAAAACCCCUCCUUUCCCAUCCACGCUUCUCCAUCCCAGCCCCGCUCAGCCGCCCUGGGGACUCGCUGAUGUGGUUAUAGGCUGCAGUAAAGGUGUUACCAUCAUUCCUGGUCCGUGUGGG